Molecule: long non-coding RNA, 1646 nt
Organism: Aegilops tauschii subsp. strangulata
Lineage: Eukaryota; Viridiplantae; Streptophyta; Magnoliopsida; Poales; Poaceae
Source: RefSeq, a predicted model, not a curated record
AGUGUAGUGUGGCGCCUUUGUGUCGGGCGUCACACAAAAAGAUCAGCCGCGUGAAAUAGUUUCAUGAGCAGUUCAUUCUCUGAUUUGAUUUCGUCUACAUGUCAAAUUUAUCAAAUUUGCCCUUAAAUCGUGGGCAUCACACCAUCUUAUCCCUAUCCACUCUUAAGAUAUUUUGGCUUUCUUUCCUCUCGAUUUCUCUCCAUCUCUCUGGAAGGCUCCCAUCAAAUCCGUGCACGGCUCAACCACCGUUCCGCCACCGUAUGAGCCUAUAAAAACUGCUCUUCCCGUCGCUUGCUCCCAGCACAUCGUCGCUCGACAUGCAUGUUUCUAUGUCGCCAUUCGUCGCUCGGCCGCCAUCAUCCGCCUUCGUCAAGGCCAGGCCACUGGCGUGCGCCAUCAGGGCACGGGCGUGGCUGCGGCGAGCCUCCACUAGGCCGCGUAUUGGGGAGGAGCUGAAUCGCCAUCGCCACCAUACCGAGGUUGCCGCUACUGCUCAUGGGGAUCUCCAUUGCCACAAGACCGAGGCAUCCUCUGGUGGAGCGGCGGACACCACAGAGCAGCGGUGGCCCGCCCAACCUGCCGCCGCUUCGAGGUCACUGCUGCUGUGUCGACCUCGCGCCUGCCGUUGGCACCUUGAAGUCUCCGGUCCACGUCUUUGCUCAGGGAAACUGUCGCCUCGGGUAGGUUAGCGCUGAAGGCAAUGCGAGGAGGUUCUCUCUGCCCUCGGCUGAACUCCUCGAUGGCGAGCGCGCAAAGGUUGUGUGCUCAUCCCUCUCUUGGUUAUGUACCUUGCUGCCCGCGUGUGUGCUCCCGCAUCCUGCUGUUGCGUCAUCUGCAUGCGCAGGAGCAGUAGUAUGCUGCUGCUGUGUGGUGGGCAUGUGCACUUGGUCCGUGUGUGUGCUAGCUAGGUGAGGGUCACUGCUCUCUCUAUAACUUUUUACAAAGAAACCUCCACUCUCCAUCAUGCAUAUCUCCGCAGGUAGGCAGACGCUUCCAAGAUCAAGAGAAAAGGUCCUUGGAUGAAUAGCUUUUGCUUUUGGUGACAUGUGAUGUGAUUUGUUGUGACACUUCAGCUAUGGAGAUCUGUCCGGACGGUCUUCUGUCCUACCUCUGAAUCGAGGAUAUACUGUCGCUGUAUAUGAAGUGUAAAUAUUCAGAUAUGUAAGCUGCCUCCUAACUUCUCUUUACAGAUUUAUUAUCUAUGAAAUGCAUGCAAGCAAGUCCUAUCUUACAGACAAUUACUCCCUUAUAGAUAAAUCCGUUGAUUCAUAAAUUAAUUGGCCGGUGAUCGGUAGAUAGUCAAGUGGAUUGAUACCUGGAGUUUAGAGCUCAAAGUCCUUCUAACUUCUCUAUUUGGCUGUAUUUUCUUGACAGCUUUGAGAGAAGAAGUACUGUUGGUCAUUCCUAACAUGUAUAUUUUAAAUACUAGAGAAGUGAAUUGAUAGUUCAUUCAGUAGAGUAUUAGUAGAUGAUGAUUUCUUUUCUUUGCAUUCAACUGGUGUAUAUCCUGAUAUGUUUAGUCCGUUCCCAAAAUAAUUUGUGAAGUAGCCUUAAUAAUUAUACACCUUCUCUGUGUAUUAGUACUCAGUUUUUUGGGGAGCUGGAAGAAGCCAGCUUAUCAUAAUAUGUGAAAAUGAAUUUAUUUA